AAAUAAUGUUGAUAAUGUAAACAAAGAUUAGAAAAAAUACAAAAGGAUUGGUUUCCGUGAUUUUGACUGGGCUGUAACACUCUUCCUAUUCACAGGCGCUAUCCCGCUACUGAUCAACGUGGGAACUUUUGGCUGCUCCCUUUCGGGCCUCGCCCGGUUCGUUCCUCCUUAGACAACCUGGCCACCUCAGGCUACCCUGGGAUAUCCAUAUUGACGCCGAGCUUAGCGCGGACGCCCGAUCGUCAUAGGACAGAGCGCCACAGGGCUCCCAACCUCACACCGUCCUCCAACCCAAGCCUCCAAGUAGCUGGAUUACAAGCGCACGCCACUGCGCCCGGCGAUGUUGGACCAUCGAAAGCUUCCCUUUAUUAUCCUGCCAUAAGCUCCGCCCACUAAUCUGUGACGUCACAAGAACAGCGACUUCCCCAUUAUCCUGUUUGACUCGCGCUGGUUGCAGUGAUAUAGAUUCGCUGUUAAUAACAAAGCGGGCAGAACAUUCCAACGUCGCGAAUCAAAACACUCCACACAUGUCUCGUACAAUCCGUUCCUAAUCAAUGACUCUCAUGCUCGCAUAGGAAUGGUUGUGGGCGUGUGUAUAAGGAGACUGUAUAAGAAGACUUACUCAGAACUGCAGGCUCAUAUCGCAGCUACUGUGUAUGGUGAUGAACCAACUAUUGUCUACAUCCCAGGUAACCUUGCGUAUUGCGCCGUAGUAGCUCAUCCUUAUAGAAUAUAACUGUAUAUGAUGAUGUUGUAUCUGUAUGAUGAAAUUUAAAAGAUUGCAUACAAGAGAAAUACUGGUA
Molecule: non-coding RNA, 803 nt
Organism: Ciona intestinalis (vase tunicate)
Lineage: Eukaryota; Metazoa; Chordata; Ascidiacea; Phlebobranchia; Cionidae
Source: RefSeq, a predicted model, not a curated record